RNAcentral lists this long non-coding RNA (224 nucleotides) under Solanum tuberosum (potato). RNAcentral describes it as "long non-coding RNA (STUB_LNC000162)". Lineage: Eukaryota; Viridiplantae; Streptophyta; Magnoliopsida; Solanales; Solanaceae. The record is from RNAcentral.
UUCCAUCUAACCAAAUCCACUCGGUGCUUAGCCAACAUUCCCAUAGAAUAGUUCGUUACCUUGACAUUAUCACAUAUGAGAGGUGCCAUUGGCCUACCAACUCCAAAUUACAUUCAUUAACACGUGAAAGGGUGCUUUAAGCCUACCGUUUCAAGGUUCAUUUAGGAAAGCUCAUUAACUCCUCUUGAAAGGGUGCCAUGGGCCUACCGAUUCAAGUCUCAUCA